AUCCUUAUGCACGGGUUUUUCGCCUGUCAGUGAAGUUCCGACUGAGACGGUGAGUUGCUUUUACGCAAACUAUUCAAUACCCAUUCCUCGGCUGGCUGCCCCUCUGGGGCGGUAGGCUGAGGAAAUUUUUGUAUGCCCCCGAGGGC
Linderina pennispora is the source of this 146-nucleotide small nuclear RNA. It matches the Rfam family "U4 spliceosomal RNA". From Rfam's summary of the family: U4 small nuclear RNA (U4 snRNA) is a component of the major U2-dependent spliceosome. The structure of U4 snRNA from yeast and human has been reported. U4 snRNA presents a k-turn RNA motif in the 5p-SL related to recognition of Snu13 protein. Lineage: Eukaryota; Fungi; Kickxellomycota; Kickxellomycetes; Kickxellales; Kickxellaceae. The record is from Rfam.